UACGAAGGGUGCAAGCGUUAAUCGGAAUUACUGGGCGUAAAGCGUGCGCAGGCGGUCUGUUAAGACCGAUGUGAAAUCCCCGGGCUUAACCUGGGAACUGCAUUGGUGACUGGCAGGCUUUGAGUGUGGCAGAGGGAGGUAGAAUUCCACGUGUAGCAGUGAAAUGCGUAGAGAUGUGGAGGAAUACCGAUGGCGAAGGCAGCCUCCUGGGCCAACACUGACGCUCAUGCACGAAAGCGUGGGGAGCAAACAGG
Molecule: ribosomal RNA, 254 nt
Filed under: uncultured bacterium
Lineage: Bacteria
Description: partial 16S ribosomal RNA
Rfam family: Bacterial small subunit ribosomal RNA
Source: RNAcentral